RNAcentral lists this ribosomal RNA (521 nucleotides) under uncultured bacterium. RNAcentral's name for it is "bacterial SSU rRNA". It matches the Rfam family "Bacterial small subunit ribosomal RNA", at positions 777 to 1297 of the family's 1533-position model. The record is from RNAcentral.
AAUAGAUACCCAGGUAGUCCACGUCGUAAACGAUGAGUGCUAAGUGUUAGAGGGUUUCCGCCCUUUAGUGCUGAAGUUAACGCAUUAAGCACUCCGCCUGGGGAGUACGGCCGCAAGGCUGAAACUCAAAGGAAUUGACGGGGGCCCGCACAAGCGGUGGAGCAUGUGGUUUAAUUCGAAGCAACGCGAAGAACCUUACCAGGUCUUGACAUCCUCUGACAACCCUAGAGAUAGGGCUUCUCCUUCGGGAGCAGAGUGACAGGUGGUGCAUGGUUGUCGUCAGCUCGUGUCGUGAGAUGUUGGGUUAAGUCCCGCAACGAGCGCAACCCUUGAUCUUAGUUGCCAUCAUUCAGUUGGGCACUCUAAGGUGACUGCCGGUGACAAACCGGAGGAAGGUGGGGAUGACGUCAAAUCAUCAUGCCCCUUAUGACCUGGGCUACACACGUGCUACAAUGGACGGUACAAAGAGCUGCAAGACCGCGAGGUGGAGCUAAUCUCAUAAAAACCGUUCUCAGUUCGGA